CUGACACACUCAAACACGCACACAUGCCCUCCUCCCCCAUGCUGCAGUGUCUCAACUGCCUUGGAGCAAACCAGAGAGGAAAUAGAACAGACAAUAAUAAGAGAGACGAGAAAGAGGGGGAUAUAAAGAGAGAGAGUAUGAGUGGAAGAAAGAGUGUGUUAUAGGAGAAUGUUGGACUAAGAGUGGAUUGCACACUGCUUAUCUCUCCCAUGCGAGUGUUUGUCUGCAGUAUCCCUGGUGAACGGACCCUGGACAUUGAAACGGUAAGCCUGCCUGCUUUAUUUUCUCACACUCUUUCUUUUUGUCAUCACCACUAAGUUGGCCCUCUUUGUUUGGCUGGGGUGAGGAGUUUCUGUGUAAUUGGAUUCAAGUGGAGGAACAGGAUCUUUUUUUCUCCUCAUGAAGGUGAUGUUCUGAGAUGGCACCAAGUCAAGGCUGUUUCUCCAGUUCCCUCCUCUCUGUGUAGGUGGACUAGGAGAGACAGUGUCUGUGUACAUAUCCUCCUUGAUACAGCCUUCAUAGAUACAGUAUAUGGUUAUGUUGGGUAAUGGUAAAUAGGGAUGUGUGCGUGCUCUGUCCAUCUCAUCGUUCAUGAGCGAAUGAGAAUGAGAGAGGUAAGAGAGGUAAGAGAAGAAGAGAGGUAAGAGAAGAAGAGGUAAGAGAAGAAGAGGUAAGAGAGGGAGAGAGGUAAGAGAGGUAAGAGAGGGAGAGAGGUAAGAGAGGUAAGAGAGGUGAGAGAGGUAAGAGAGGGAGAGAGGUGAGAGAGGUAAGAGAGGGAGAGAGGUAAGAGAGGUAAGAGAGGUAAGAGGGAGAGAGAUAAGAGAGAGGGAAAGCGGUGAGAGGGAGAGAGGUAAGAGAGCCAAUAAAAGUACUGUCACGUAGGAUCUGCUGAUGACUGGCUUAGCGAGACAAUGAAUGUGACUGUGCGGUGGGAGGUGCACACACCCCAUGGAGUGUUGCUCUGCAGGCAGGCACUGGGCUGGACAGAUGAGCAGUGGCUUCACACCGGCAUUUUAGCAUCUGCCCUUGCAGCGCUCUGCCUGCCAUCCCACAUCAACAAUAACAUCAGCACAUCGAUCGAGAACCGUGUUGACCCAGGAUGGGUGUGUGCGAGUGUGAUUCUGAGAAAGUGACAGAGUGUGUGUGUUUCCUGCUCUCCAGUGGCCACAGCAGUGAGGGUCAUUUGUGACAUUUUGUGUCUCUACAAUCCCUCAUAUCGCUAAUGGAGCAUUGCCAUGACUCGUGGAGUGGGGGUUAUUCGGCAACGCAGGGGUGUGUGUGUAUGUGUGUGUGUGUGUGAGAGAGAACCUGCGCAGGGAGGGGUCGAGAGGCUAGGGGUUUUAACAGUAGGGAGAGAGGAGAGAUGGAGAGAAUGUAAGGAUAAACAUUGAGGGGACAGGGCUGUUUAGCCAAGUGUCAGCUGGAGAUGAUGGACGAUGUUGACUUGAGAACUGGCUGCAUGCGAUAGGCCCAAAGAAUGAAGUGAAACAGCCAACAUCCAGGCCCUCGGACAUCUAAAAAUGGAGGCAAAAAUUGUGGAAUAAAAUGCCUUGGGAACCUCUGGAGGAACACAGAUAGUGAAAUGAACCAGAGGAUGUGAGAUGAAUAGCAACCUCUCCUCUGCUCCUCGCAACCUACAAAAGCAGACCACAUUGCAUGAAUUUCUUUGCAAUAUUAAUGUAAACGGGGAGAGAAUAUAAAUGCACCGACGAUGGCAAACUGAAAUCAAGACUAGCAUUUAUUAUAGCACUUGAUGAUACAGGCUGGCUUUAAUGUGAUUAUACCAUAUUCAUGUCAUGAAGUGCCUAUUGAGCAAACAUUGGAGGAAUACAGGAUCUGCUUUCACAAAUGAAUUAGCUUGUCACUAUUUAAAUGUAAGAUUACAUACACAGACUACUAACAGAUCACUGUUUUUCUCUCCUUUUCACAAAUUGUAUGGCAAUAUUUUAUAUAUAAUUUUUCUGGCUAUGUAACUGCAGUGUAACUUCUACAUACAAAGGAUAGACAGCCAAAGCAUGUCUAGUGUCACUCUUGAAAUCAUCAAUCCCAAUAAAUCAAAUAAAAUCAUUGUUCAAUCUAAAUACCUAUCAUAUUUUUGAUGUGAUAUUAUAAUAAAUGUGAUGAAUUCAAAUCUAUAACAAUUUCACCUUCAAUGUGUAAGAUGUCAUAAGGUUAGGUUUACACAUAGAAUGUGCUAGAAGGACCAUGUAGAGUAAAAAUGUGACGUGUACCAAGCAAAUGUAACAACAACCAAGCCCAAAUAUACUAUAUAUACAGAAGUAUGUGGACACCCCUUCAAAUGAGUGGAUUUGGCUAUUUCAGCCACACCUGUUGUUGACAGGUGUAUAAAAUGGAGCACAUAGCCAUGAAAUCUCCAUAGACAAACAUUUGCAGUAGAAUGGCCUUACUGAAGAGCUCAGUGACUUUCAACGUGGCACUGUCAUAGGAUGCCACCUUUCCAGCAAGCCAGCUUGUCAAAUUUCUGCCCUGCUAGAGCUGCCCCGGUCAACUGUAACAGCUGUUAUUGUGAAGUGGAUACGUCUAGAAGCAACAGCGGCGAAGUAGUAUGCCACACAAGCUCACAGAAAGGGACUGCUGAAGCACAUAGUACGUAAAAAUCAUGCAACACUCACUACUGAGUUCCAAACUGCCUCUGGAAGCAACAUCAGCACAAGAACUGUUCGUUGGGAGCUUCAUGAAAUGGGUUUCCAUGGCCGAGCAGCUGCAUACAAGCCUAAGAUCAACAUGCACGAUGCCAAGCGUCGGCUGGAGUGGUGUAAAGCUCGCUGCCAUUGGACUCUGGAGCAGUGGAAGCGCUUUCUCUGGAGUGAUGAAUCACGCUUCACCAUCUGGCAGUCCGGUAGACGAAUCUGUGUUUGGCAGAUACCAGGAGAACGCUAUGCACAGUGCCAACUGUAAAGUUUGGUGGGGGAUAAAUAAUGGUCUGGGGCUGUUUUUCAUGGUUCGGGCUAGGCCCCUUAGUUCCAGUGAAGGGAAAUCUUAACGCUACAACAUACAAUGACAUUCUAGACGAUUAUGUUCUUCCAAC
This is a long non-coding RNA of Oncorhynchus tshawytscha (Chinook salmon), 3049 nucleotides long. The record is from Ensembl. Lineage: Eukaryota; Metazoa; Chordata; Actinopteri; Salmoniformes; Salmonidae.